ACGUUCAUCCCUUGACGGUAUCUAACCAGAAAGCCACGGCUAACUACGUGCCAGCAGCCGCGGUAAUACGUAGGUGGCAAGCGUUAUCCGGAUUUAUUGGGCGUAAAGCGAGCGCAGACGGUUUAUUACGUCUGAUGUGAAAGCCCGGAGCUCAACUCCGGAAUGGCAUUGGAAACUGGUUAACUUGAGUGCAGUAGAGGUAAGUGGAACUCCAUGUGUAGCGGUGGAAUGCGUAGAUAUAUGGAAGAACACCAGUGGCGAAGGCGGCUUACUGGACUGCAACUGACGUUGAGGCUCGAAAGUGUGGGUAGCAAACAGGAUUAGAUACCCUGGUAGUCCACACCGUAAACGAUGAACACUAGGUGUUAGGAGGUUUCCGCCUCUUAGUGCCGAAGCUAACGCAUUAAGUGUUCCGCCUGGGGAGUACGACCGCAAGGUUG
Molecule: ribosomal RNA, 440 nt
Filed under: uncultured Leuconostoc sp.
Lineage: Bacteria; Bacillati; Bacillota; Bacilli; Lactobacillales; Lactobacillaceae
Description: bacterial SSU rRNA
Rfam family: Bacterial small subunit ribosomal RNA
Source: RNAcentral